This 505-nucleotide ribosomal RNA is filed under the name uncultured bacterium. Its description in RNAcentral is "partial 16S ribosomal RNA". The record is from RNAcentral.
GUGGCUUUCUGAUUAGGUACCGUCAAGAUGUGCACAGUUACUUACACAUAUGUUCUUCCCUAAUAACAGAGUUUUACGAUCCGAAGACCUUCAUCACUCACGCGGCGUUGCUCCGUCAGGCUUUCGCCCAUUGCGGAAGAUUCCCUACUGCUGCCUCCCGUAGGAGUCUGGACCGUGUCUCAGUUCCAGUGUGGCCGAUCACCCUCUCAGGUCGGCUAUGCAUCGUUGCCUUGGUAAGCCGUUACCUUACCAACUAGCUAAUGCAGCGCGGAUCCAUCUAUAAGUGACAGCAAGACCGUCUUUCACUUUUGAACCAUGCGGUUCAAAAUAUUAUCCGGUAUUAGCUCCGGUUUCCCGAAGUUAUCCCAGUCUUAUAGGUAGGUUAUCCACGUGUUACUCACCCGUCCGCCGCUAACAUCAGAGAAGCAAGCUUCUCGUCCGUUCGCUCGACUUGCAUGUAUUAGGCACGCCGCCAGCGUUCAUCCUGAGCCAGGAUCAAACUCUA